Long non-coding RNA from Alligator sinensis (Chinese alligator), 506 nucleotides. RefSeq lists it as uncharacterized. Lineage: Eukaryota; Metazoa; Chordata; Crocodylia; Alligatoridae. The transcript has 3 exons. The record is from RefSeq and is a predicted model, not a curated record.
AUGAUGAUGGUGCAGCUGCAGCAGUCUCUUUGGGAAGAACAUGCCACGCUGUGAGACAGACACACGAUCACAUAAACCUUUCUGCGGACCACCUGAAUGGAGCUCGUGGACCAGUGGUGGUCCAUGGAUCACAGUUUGAGAACCUCUGAUCUCGAAGAUACAACACUAUGAAGAUUCUGGAGAGCAGUGAUCCUCAUUGUGUACCUUCCCCGGGCUGUGAAUUGUUUACUGCGCUUCUGGAUAGUUAAAUCUCGGAAUUUAAUAAGGGACUCAAACAAGAUGGAACAAAAUCAGACUUCGGUGCACCUCAGUCCACUUUCAUGCCUGAUUGGUGGACUAGAAUAUUGUCUUUUGUGAAAAAAAAAUCACCUUGUCAAACAAUUUAAAUGGGGAUGUUUCAGCAUGUCUUAACCUACAUGGUCAUUGAUCAGAGUGCAAAUAUGUGUAAACAGCAAGACUAGAAAUUAAGAACCCCUAACUGCUGAGUAUGAUACCAACAGCCUUCU